Molecule: ribosomal RNA, 199 nt
Filed under: Chaetoceros brevis
Lineage: Eukaryota; Bacillariophyta; Thalassiosirophyceae; Chaetocerotales; Chaetocerotaceae
Description: partial Eukaryotic small subunit ribosomal RNA
Rfam family: Eukaryotic small subunit ribosomal RNA
Source: RNAcentral
UUUCCUUGCCCGGAAUGGUUGGGUAAUCUUGUUAAACUCUGUCGUGCUGGGGAUAGAGCAUUGCAAUUAUUGCUCUUCAACGAGGAAUGCCUAGUAAGCGUACGUCAUCAGCGUGCGUUGAUUACGUCCCUGCCCUUUGUACACACCGCCCGUCGCUACUACCGAUUGAAUGGCUCAGUGAGGCUUUGGGACUGGCUCA